CCAGGGGGCUGCACGUGGCCAAGAUGGGAAAACAGGAGGUCACGCCCUUCCUGCCAGGGGAGGUCCUGGUGCCCGCAGUAGAGGGCGGAGGCCACCCGGGCUGCAGCGAGAGCAGCGGGAGAUGCAGCUGAGUCGCCCGUGCGCCACACCGCUGUCCUCCGAGGCGCCCGCGUGCCACGCUGCCCUUUGUUCUGGAGCAGUUGCAGAGUCCGCUGCAGUGGUGAGGAGCGAACCAGAGAGACCGGGGUCCCCUGGAGCCACCAGAUGGUGCCUCAGGGACUCGCCAGUGACAGGACCCACACUGCUGAGACCCUGCUGCCUGUGAGGGCCCUCACGCAGAGCGUGGGAAAUGGCAUCGAAAGACAAGCUUAUUGUGGUGCAAAAAUCUUUCCCUGAGGACCCACUCACCUGGCCCCCGGUUCAAGAAUUUCCUUGUUUUGAGAACGCUGUGUUGCUGCAGCCAGGCGAUCUGUGACCUUUCGCUCCCGAUUCUCUCGAGGGCCGUCCAGGAUGUGGCUGCAUCAGCAGCUUGCUCCUCUGUCAUGGAGCAGCUGCUGGGACGCAGGACGAAGACUGUUUCUAGUUCUUGGCUUUGGCAAAUAAAUCCGCAGUGAGCCCUGGUGU
Non-coding RNA from Oryctolagus cuniculus (rabbit), 624 nucleotides. Lineage: Eukaryota; Metazoa; Chordata; Mammalia; Lagomorpha; Leporidae. The record is from RefSeq and is a predicted model, not a curated record.